This 1110-nucleotide long non-coding RNA is filed under the name Cairina moschata (Muscovy duck). RNAcentral's name for it is "domestica (muscovy Duck (domestic type)) lncRNA (ENSCMMG00000007039.1)". Lineage: Eukaryota; Metazoa; Chordata; Aves; Anseriformes; Anatidae. The record is from RNAcentral.
AUGCCCAGUGAAAGGCUGCAUCGACAUCACUGUCCCAAAGCAACUCCACUGCUUACAGCCACGCAAAGCCCAGCAGCACUCGCUUCCCCAAGCAGAGCGAGCACCAAGCCACGGGCGGUUUUUGCCAGGCUCUGCCCCAGAGCAACGCGCCUGCUGCUCCUCAGCACCCCACUGAGCACACGCUGGAUGAGGACCCGGCACCCAGGAUGCCCUAAGAAGCCGCUGCCAGACCCAGUGCAGCCCCCAGACCCUCAGCCCUUCUCCCCCUCCCCCCGGCCGGCUGUGCCGUGCCCCUCCCGGCACCCCGGCCCUCCGCCGGCCGCCCACCUACGCCAGCCCCCGGCUCGGCCGCGGCCUAGCGCCGCGCUCCGCCGGGACCGCCUCCAUCGGGCAGCCCCGGGGCCGGGCAAGCGGGCGGCGAGGGGGGCCGGCCGAGGAAGCCGGGGGGAGCCGGGGGGAGCCGCGGACAGGCGGAUGUUGGCGGAUGGCGGCGGGCGGCCCGCACUCACCCGCCCGUCUGCUCCGGCGGCCGCCGCUGGAAAGGAAGUGGCAGCGCUCAGGGGGCGGAAGGGGCCGCGCUCAGCCGGAAGGGAUGGCGGCGGGAGGCCGGCUUCCGCCCUGUGCGCCGUAGCUGACCUCGUCAAGAUGGCGGCGCCCGCAUCCACCGGGGUUGACCUGCUCAAGAUGGCGGAGCUCGCCGCUCAGUGUGCCCCUCCCCAACAUGGCGGCGCCCGCCUCGACCGGCACCGCCCUCCUCAAGAUGGCGGCGCACCCCCCCCGGCACCGCCCCCUUCAAGAUGGCGGCGGUCGCCUCACAGCUGUCCCCUCCCCAAGAUGGCGGCGCCACGCUUCAGGGGGAUGCGGUCCCUCAGAGCCUUUUUCGGUCCCGUUGGACGGCGUUUUGCCAUAAUUAAACGUCUUCCUAAGCACUACACAAUGGUGCCACACGGCCCAGUUGUGGUGGCAUGGGUCGGUGUGUGUGCCAAGUGUGCGGGCUACGAGGGCUGUCUCAAAUGGCCACCAGUCCUGCUUCAGCUCCUCCAUCCCGUUGUCCCAGGAGGCCCUCAGGUCUCUGUUUUAACCUGGUUUCACCAACAGAAGCCAUCCUGA